GCCCUAGUCGUUCAACUGGAUAGAAUAUCAGAUUUCGGCUCUGAGGGUUGAGGGUUCGAAUCCUUCCGUGGUCACAA
This 77-nucleotide transfer RNA is filed under the name Saprospirales bacterium. RNAcentral's name for it is "tRNA-Arg". It matches the Rfam family "tRNA". From Rfam's summary of the family: Transfer RNA (tRNA) molecules are approximately 80 nucleotides in length. Their secondary structure includes four short double-helical elements and three loops (D, anti-codon, and T loops). The record is from RNAcentral. Lineage: Bacteria; Pseudomonadati; Bacteroidota; Saprospiria; Saprospirales.